This 465-nucleotide ribosomal RNA is filed under the name Vreelandella stevensii. RNAcentral's name for it is "partial 16S ribosomal RNA". It matches the Rfam family "Bacterial small subunit ribosomal RNA", at positions 338 to 795 of the family's 1533-position model. Lineage: Bacteria; Pseudomonadati; Pseudomonadota; Gammaproteobacteria; Oceanospirillales; Halomonadaceae. The record is from RNAcentral.
CCUACGGGCGGCAGCAGUGGGGAAUAUUGGACAAUGGGCGAAAGCCUGAUCCAGCCAUGCCGCGUGUGUGAAGAAGGCCUUCGGGUUGUAAAGCACUUUCAGUGGGGAAGAAAGCCUUGGGGCUAAUACCCUCGAGGAAGGACAUCACCCACAGAAGAAGCACCGGCUAACUCCGUGCCAGCAGCCGCGGUAAUACGGAGGGUGCGAGCGUUAAUCGGAAUUACUGAGCGUAAAGCGCGCGUAGGCGGUCUGAUAAGCCGGUUGUGAAAGCCCCGGGCUCAACCUGGGAACGGCAUCCGGAACUGUCAGGCUAGAGUGCAGGAGAGGAAGGUAGAAUUCCCGGUGUAGCGGUGAAAUGCGUAGAGAUCGGGAGGAAUACCAGUGGCGAAGGCGGCCUUCUGGACUGACACUGACGCUGAGGUGCGAAAGCGUGGGUAGCAAACAGGAUUAGAUACCCGUGUAGUC